Molecule: ribosomal RNA, 821 nt
Filed under: uncultured eukaryote
Lineage: Eukaryota
Description: partial Eukaryotic large subunit ribosomal RNA
Rfam family: Eukaryotic large subunit ribosomal RNA
Source: RNAcentral
AGGAUUCCCCUAGUAAGGGGGACUGAAGCGGGAAGAGCUCACAGUGUGAAUCUGCACUCUAGUAGUGCCGAAUUGUGGUCUGUAGAAGUUUGUGUUUGGCCGGCCGGGUUAAGUCCCUUGGAAAAGGGCAGCAGAGAGGGUGAGACUCCCGUUCUUGCCUGGGUUUGGCCAUUUGACACUUACUUUCAACGAGUCGAGUUGUUUGGGAUUGCAGCUCAAAGUGGGUGGUAAAUUCCAUCUAAAGCUAAAUAUGGGUGGGAGACCGAUAGCGUACAAGUACCGUGAGGGAAAGAUGCAAAGAACUUUGAAAAGAGAGUUAAAGAGUACCUGAAAUUGCUGAAAGGGAAGCGAAGGAAACCAGUGCUUGGCUUGGUCAUAUUUCUCGAAUCGCUUGCGGUUUGGGCGCUGUGUCGUUGCCUUUGUCAUUUUUGCUUGUUCUCGGCGGAAACGUGUGUUCGGGAGGUAGCGCUUGCGUGAUACCGUUCACAUUAUUGCUGGGUUUGAGUGAGGCUGACGAAAUGGUUUUCUUUACCCCGUCUAGUAACACGGACCAAGGAGUCUAACAUAUGUGCGAGUACAGGGGUGGCAAACCCCCGUGCGCAAUGAAAGUGACAGUGGUUGGACCUUUUGGGCACAAUCCGCCGGCCUCAAUCCUUCGGGAGAACGGUCUGAGUGUGAGCAUACAUGUUGGGACCCGAAAGAUGGUGAACUAUGCCUGAAUAGGGUGAAGCCAGGGGAAACUCUGGUGGAGGCUCGUAGCGAUUCUGACGUGCAAAUCGAUCGUCAAAUUUGGGUAUAGGGGCGAAAGACUAAUCGAACCA